UGAAGUGUCAGCGAUCCUCCUGCCUCAGCCUCCAGAGUGCUGGGAUCACGGGGCGUGCGCCACCACGCAUGGCUUUGUUUUUCGUUUUUAAAAAAUGCGCAUUUGGAGAGACAGAUGGAUGGGAAGCAGAAAGAGGCCUGCAUCGAUUGCAGGCCAGAGGAAGGCUGCGUUACCUCCAGGCUGUCCCCCACCGCCCGCCUCCUGUCCCUGGCCUCCACUCCCUUGCCUCUCCUGCCCACUUCUGGAAGCUGGGAGCAACGCGUGCUCAUUAUGAAAGAUUCAGAGGACAGGUGGAAGAGAGGAGAAACAAUGAGGCAGGUUUUAGCAGCCUCGGGGUGUUUACAGCAGAGUUGGAAUGAUGAGGUUCCCUCUUCAUGAAACUGGGGUGCUCCUUCCUUUACCCCUCCUUAAAAUCCAGCUCAGGUUCCUGCUCCCCACAGGGGUCCCCAGGGUCCCGAGGUCCAGAACAAUCUUCGCUUUAACUGAUCUUGGUUUCUUCCAUUUGAAAAAGCAUUUAUUGACAUUUAUUACUUUGGGGCGGCACGUAGGACCCGGCCGCUGGGAUGCAUCCCUCCUGUCUGCAUUAGGAAGAGGGCGUGUGCCGGGCACCCGCAACCUCAUCUGACGGCGUCAUUGUGGAAGGCAGAAGGUGAGUGUUGCGCUCGCCCCCACUUCACAGAUGAAGAAAUUGAGAACAAGAAGCUUUCCUGGAAACCACGGCAGGUGAGCUGAGAGCCAGGAUUUGCACCUGAGUCUCUGGGCUGGGGCUUGAGCUCUGAGCUCCCACAUGGCAUUGCCUCCCUGCACAACUUAGCAAGGGGAUAAAGGUCCUCACCUGGGUGUGCCCAGGAGAGGGAGGACAGCGGCAUCAUCCUGGGGAUGUGAGAAGACUCCCUGGAGAUGGUGAGGCUUUACUGGGUUUUGAAGGAUGUAUAGGAGUCGUCAGCACAGGAAGCAUCUGAAGAGGAGAAAACAGCCUGUGCGUGGUGUGACGGGGGUGAGUGGGCAGAGACAGCGGCAGCACAGGGACAGGCCGGGAGGAGAGGGAGCCCGGCACUUACACUCUCCACUCCAGACUGGAGUUUUGGGUGCCUCGGGCACGCAGCAACCUGGCAGGUGACCCAGAGGGAGGUGGCGGCUGGGCUGUGCACCAGCCAUGCCCAAGCUGGGCCCGGGAGCUGCGUUCCCAUUUGAAGUCUCUGCAGCAAGCAAGCGUGCUGGGAGCUGUCCCUGCAUGCUGGGGACGUUUGGGGCCCGGACUGGCAUGGCCAGAGGUCUGACGCCUUUGUUCCUCCCAGGCUCCCUGGCCCCGCCCUCUGCCCACCCUGCUGUGGUCCAGGGAGGGUGUGUUCAACUGCUCCUGCCUUGGGGUCUUUUAUCCAGGGCCCUGGGGUCAAGAUCCUUGCGCCGGGCGGUAUUUCAACAGCCCGACUCUGGGUCUUGGGAUUCUGGAGCUCGGGCUCGGCCUUGACCUGUGCCUGUGGCCCCAACCAGUGCUCUUCAGGGCAGACUCUGGCUUCUGCUGCGCCGGGCUGCUAGGCAGAGCCCCGGGAAGCCGUGACAGCCGCUCGUGGCUCCUCCGCCUCCUCGCGGACUCUCCGUGCGCCCUAGGCUGCCCCACCUCAGGGGACGCCCACCUCACCCGGCAGCCGGAAGCGCUCCUGCGGGAGGACUAGAGCAGGUGCUGGCCACCUUCUCCCCCACCCCACCCCACCCCCGGGCUCUCUCCUGAUUGCGGAAGUAGCCUGGGACCUGCACCACAAGACCCCCGCGGCCCAGCUUCUGCUCCCGGUCUGGCCCGCUCUGGUCUCCCAGCCAGCGUCUGUGAGCCCGACAUCUGGGGCGCCUCAGUGGGGCGCCUUUGCUGUCCCGUCCUCCAUCCCAAUUUGGGGCCCAGCUGUGACCAGACCCGAUGACGUCUACGGGGGCCUCUGGCCCCCCUUCCCUGGCUGCGGGCACUAGAGGCUGCCCAGGCCGCCCUGUGGGGGCCUUGAGGACCUCUUCCCUCCCCUCUCCUGCUUUGCCUCUGGGUCCACCUCUCUCAUCCUGGCAGCUCCCGUGGCCUUGGUCCUCACCACACAAGGUCUCGCGCCAGCACUGCGGCUUUUGUGGUCUCCAGGAGACGGCUGGGCUGGGAGUCCCAGGGUUCCCACCCCUCUGCCCUCCCUGGACAGACAGACCUCAUUCCGUCCCUGCUGCCCACCUCACUGGACAGCCAUGCUGGGACCCCGUCCAGUCUCGGCGCCGGAAUGGGCUGCUGUGUGCUCUGAUAAUGGCCGUUCUUUCUGGGUCUUCAGGCCGUGCUCGGCUGGCUCCAGAACAGAACGACGUGGCAGAAGGUGUGGGGAAAGAGAGCCGUUCACUUCAGCC
Long non-coding RNA from Fukomys damarensis (Damara mole-rat), 2370 nucleotides. RefSeq lists it as uncharacterized. Lineage: Eukaryota; Metazoa; Chordata; Mammalia; Rodentia; Bathyergidae. The transcript has 4 exons. The record is from RefSeq and is a predicted model, not a curated record.